RNAcentral lists this ribosomal RNA (485 nucleotides) under uncultured bacterium. RNAcentral's name for it is "partial 16S ribosomal RNA". It matches the Rfam family "Bacterial small subunit ribosomal RNA", at positions 30 to 507 of the family's 1533-position model. The record is from RNAcentral.
AUUGAACGCUGGCGGCAGGCUUAACACAUGCAAGUCGAGCGGGGAAAGGUAGCUUGCUACCUGACCUAGCGGCGGACGGGUGAGUAAUGCUUAGGAAUCUGCCUAUUAGUGGGGGACAACAUCUCGAAAGGGAUGCUAAUACCGCAUACGUCCUACGGGAGAAAGCAGGGGACCUUCGGGCCUUGCGCUAAUAGAUGAGCCUAAGUCGGAUUAGCUAGUUGGUGGGGUAAAGGCCUACCAAGGCGACGAUCUGUAGCGGGUCUGAGAGGAUGAUCCGCCACACUGGGACUGAGACACGGCCCAGACUCCUACGGGAGGCAGCAGUGGGGAAUAUUGGACAAUGGGGGGAACCCUGAUCCAGCCAUGCCGCGGGUGGGAAGAAGGCCUUUUGGUUGUAAAGCACUUUAAGCGAGGAGGAGGCUACCGAGAUUAAUACUCUUGGAUAGUGGACGUUACUCGCAGAAUAAGCACCGGCUAACUCUGUG